Molecule: transfer RNA, 64 nt
Filed under: Xenoturbella hollandorum
Lineage: Eukaryota; Metazoa; Xenacoelomorpha; Xenoturbellidae
Description: tRNA-His
Source: RNAcentral
GUUACGGUAGUUUAAAAAUACUAGCCUGUGGAGCUAAAGAUGCAAAUUACAUUUCGCUCGUAAC